AGUUGCUAACAUUCAGGCCAGGUGUUGACCAGGAAGUGAAGCGAGAUUAUUAAGAGUACACUUACACACAGCAAGCUGCAUCACAAGUGCCUCAGAAUGCUUGAAAAUGAGGUCCUAUCUGGCACAGCUGCCCAGGGUUUGCCUUACCUGUUCACAUCUGUGGGUUCUCUGUGAUCAAGAACUGCCUGCCCUGGGAAAUCCAUUUGUUUUCCUCCACUCAGUGCCAAAUGCCUUCGUCUUUGUUUCUGCAAGCUCUCAACAUUCACUGCAGGCUCUAACCCAAUGACAAGUCUUUAGAAGAGAAGAGAGGGAAAAAUAGACAGAAACACACCAAGGAGAAGACAAUGUGAAGACAGAGGCAGAUAUUGGAGUGAUGCAUCUACAGGCCAAGGAAUGCCAAGAAUUGCCAGCAGCCACCAGAAGCCAGGAGAUAACAGAUUCUCUGUUCGAGCCUCCAGAAGGAUCCAAUGCAGCUGACACCUUGAUUUCAGACUUCUGGCCUCCAGAACUGUGAGAAUAAAUAUCUGAUGUUUUAAACU
Homo sapiens (human) is the source of this 539-nucleotide long non-coding RNA. NCBI's taxonomy places the organism in Eukaryota, Metazoa, Chordata, Mammalia, Primates, Hominidae. The record is from Ensembl.